UACGAAGGGGGCUAGCGUUGUUCGGAAUCACUGGGCGUAAAGCGCACGUAGGCGGAUCGUUAAGUCGGGGGUGAAAUCCCAGGGCUCAACCCUGGAACUGCCUUCGAUACUGGCGAUCUUUGAGUCCGGGAGAGGUGAGUGGAACUCCGAGUGUAGAGGUGAAAUUCGUAGAUAUUCGGAAGAACACCAGUGGCGAAGGCGGCUCACUGGCCCGGUACUGACGCUGAGGUGCGAAAGCGUGGGGAGCAAACAGG
Molecule: ribosomal RNA, 254 nt
Filed under: uncultured bacterium
Lineage: Bacteria
Description: partial 16S ribosomal RNA
Rfam family: Bacterial small subunit ribosomal RNA
Source: RNAcentral